RNAcentral lists this ribosomal RNA (479 nucleotides) under uncultured bacterium. RNAcentral describes it as "partial 16S ribosomal RNA". It matches the Rfam family "Bacterial small subunit ribosomal RNA", at positions 28 to 507 of the family's 1533-position model. The record is from RNAcentral.
GACGAACGCUGGCGGCGUGCUUAACACAUGCAAGUCGAACGAAGCUUGCUUACGGAUUCUUCGUGUGAAGUAUGAUAUGACUGAGUGGCGGCCGGGUGAGUAACGCCUGAGUAACCUGCCCUUCUGAGGGGGCUAGCGUUUGGAAACGAUCGGUAAUACCGCAUCAUGUAUUUUGACCGCAUGAUCGAAAUACCGAAGAUUUAUCGCUGGAGGAUGGACUGGCGUCUGAUUAGGUAGUUGGUGAGGUGACGGCCAACGAAGCGGAGGAUCAGUGGCCGGAGAGGGUGAUCGGCCACACACAGAGGGAGAGAGGGACGGCACAGACUCCGGCGGGAGGAGGCGGGAGGGAAGAAUGAACAAUGGGAGCAAGACGGAGGAAGCAACGGCGCGGGAAGGAAGACGGUUGGCGGAUUGUAAAUUUCUGUUCUUAGGGAGGAAUAAUGACGGUAGCUAAGGAGCAAGCCACGGCUAACUACGUG